RNAcentral lists this ribosomal RNA (338 nucleotides) under uncultured soil bacterium. Its description in RNAcentral is "bacterial SSU rRNA". It matches the Rfam family "Bacterial small subunit ribosomal RNA", at positions 26 to 366 of the family's 1533-position model. The record is from RNAcentral.
AGAUUGAACGCUGGCGGCAGGCCUAACACAUGCAAGUCGAGCGGUAGAGAGGUGCUUGCACCUCUUGAGAGCGGCGGACGGGUGAGUAAUGCCUAGGAAUCUGCCUAGUGGUGGGGGAUAACGUUCGGAAACGGACGCUAAUACCGCAUACGUCCUACGGGAGAAAGCGGGGGACCUUCGGGCCUCGCGCCAUUAGAUGAGCCUAGGUCGGAUUAGCUAGUUGGUGAGGUAAUGGCUCACCAAGGCGACGAUCCGUAACUGGUCUGAGAGGAUGAUCAGUCACACUGGAACUGAGACACGGUCCAGACUCCGUACGGGAGCAGCAGUGGGGAAUAGUU